AGUGAACGCUGGCGGUAGGCCUAACACAUGCAAGUCGAACGGCAGCACAGUAAGAGCUUGCUCUUACGGGUGGCGAGUGGCGGACGGGUGAGGAAUACAUCGGAAUCUACUUUUUCGUGGGGGAUAACGUAGGGAAACUUACGCUAAUACCGCAUACGACCUACGGGUGAAAGCAGGGGAUCUUCGGACCUUGCGCGAUUGAAUGAGCCGAUGUCGGAUUAGCUAGUUGGCGGGGUAAAGGCCCACCAAGGCGACGAUCCGUAGCUGGUCUGAGAGGAUGAUCAGCCACACUGGAACUGAGACACGGUCCAGACUCCUACGGGAGGCAGCAGUGGGGAAUAUUGGACAAAGGGCGCAAGCCUGAUCCAGCCAUACCGCGUGGGUGAAGAAGGCCUCCGGGUUGUAAAGCCCUUUUGUUGGGAAAGAAAAGCAGCAGGUUAAUACCCCGCUGUUCUGACGGUACCCAAAGAAUAAGCACCGACUAACUUCGUG
This 492-nucleotide ribosomal RNA is filed under the name uncultured bacterium. Its description in RNAcentral is "partial 16S ribosomal RNA". It matches the Rfam family "Bacterial small subunit ribosomal RNA", at positions 29 to 507 of the family's 1533-position model. The record is from RNAcentral.